This 700-nucleotide ribosomal RNA is filed under the name uncultured bacterium. Its description in RNAcentral is "bacterial SSU rRNA". It matches the Rfam family "Bacterial small subunit ribosomal RNA", at positions 406 to 1105 of the family's 1533-position model. The record is from RNAcentral.
CGAUGAAGGUCUUCGGAUCGUAAAGUUCUGUUAUUAGGGAAGAACAACCAGUCUAGGAAAUGAUGCUGGUAUGACGGUACCUGAUCAGAAAGCUCCGGCUAACUACGUGCCAGCAGCCGCGGUAAUACGUAGGGAGCAAGCGUUAUCCGGAAUUAUUGGGCGUAAAGCGUGCGUAGGCGGUUCGUUAAGUCAAAUCUGAAAGCCCACAGCUUAACUGUGGAGGGCGAUUUGAAACUGGCGAACUUGAGUACGGCAGAGGUUAGUGGAAUUCAAUGUGUAGCGGUGGAAUGCGUAGAUAUAUUGAGGAACACCAGUGGCGAAGGCGGCUAACUGGACCGGAACUGACGCUGAGGCACGAAAGCGUGGGUAGCAAACAGGAUUAGAUACCCUGGUAGUCCACGCCGUAAACGAUGAGAACUAAGUGUUGGGGUUACCCAGUGCUGAAGCUAACGCAUUAAGUCCUCCGCCUGGGGAUUACGACCGCAAGGUUGAAACUCAAAGAAAUUGGCGGGUCUCCGCACAAGCGGUGGAGCAUGUUGUUUAAUUCGACGAUACGCGAAGAACCUUACCAGGGCUUGACAUCCCAGUGAUCGCUAUAGAGGUAUAGCUUUCCUUCGGGACACUGGUGACAGGUGGUGCAUGGUUGUCGUCAGCUCGUGUCGUGAGAUGUUGGGUUAAGUCCCGCAACGAGCGCAACCCU